ACAAAACCAUUUCUGAGAGCCAAUACCUGAUCUGAAAUAUUGGGAAUCAUAAAUAUUUUUAAUUAAAAAUUAUAAUUCCUUUUCUCAUAAUUUGGGGAUUUUUAUCUAUAAAGGAAACUUCUAAAAGUUUUGGAGACCAAAUCCAAUAUUUCGUUAGGUUGUCCCAGAUCCGGCACAGAAAUAGCUAGCAUACGGUGCGUAAAUAUCCAUUCUACCAUGUUGAUUCUAAGGUUUAACUCCAGUGUCCGACCGGCUAACUCUAUUAAUUGGUUAUAUAAAAGGAGAGCGCACUAUAGCUUGUAAGUAUUGUGCCAAAGAUUACGAAAUGUGCUUCAAAACAUGUACAGAGAACUACGUAUUAAAAAAAAAAAAAAAAAAACGGAGGUAGGAAUCAAUUCUAUGGGGGUCAUAAUAAUUUUUUGGAAAAUUGAACACAUGUUCACUGAGGUCAAACACUAAUUUUAACUGAGUAUUUCAGUAAAUCCAUUCAAAUUUACACUAAAAAUAAAACAAAAAAUUAAUUUCAUAGGGGUCAUAUGACCAUAUGACCCCCUUAGAGCAUCUCCAACCCAUUGCUAUUUUCACCUCUAUAAUAGCAUUUAGAGGUGAAAUUGCUCCAACCCACCUCUAUUUCUUCCUCUAUAAUAGAGAUCUCUAUUUUUUCCUCUAUUUAUAGAGGAAGAAAUAGCAUUCCUCUAUUUUUUAUUCUAUAUUUUAGAGAUUGCUAUUUUAGUGGAAUACAUUGGAGCAUAUCUCACUUCUAUUAUAGAGUUCCCCUAUUUUAGAGGUGAAAAUAGCAAAUUACAUUGGAGAUGGUCUUAGCGCUUCACUAUCUCCGCCAACUGGUUGAGACAUUCUUCAUGCAUCUCGAUUUUUAAUAUAGUGCAUGUGUUCUAAUAAAAAAAAAAAACAAAGACGUAUUCACGUAAUUUCUCUAAGCAAAAAAUAAUAAUAAUCUAACUUACUCAAUUUGUUUCUACUAAGUACUUUACCAUGUAGAACUUGCAAGACAUUCUAUUUCCAUAUAAGACAUACCAGAGUCUUAAAUAGUAAUCAGUACAUCGUUCAUUAUACCAAAUCCAUAUCUAAUCA
RNAcentral lists this long non-coding RNA (1092 nucleotides) under Brassica rapa (field mustard). RNAcentral's name for it is "long non-coding RNA (BRAP_LNC007427)". Lineage: Eukaryota; Viridiplantae; Streptophyta; Magnoliopsida; Brassicales; Brassicaceae. The record is from RNAcentral.